UGGGUGUUCUUCUGUCGUGCGACC
Molecule: non-coding RNA, 24 nt
Filed under: Arabidopsis thaliana (thale cress)
Lineage: Eukaryota; Viridiplantae; Streptophyta; Magnoliopsida; Brassicales; Brassicaceae
Source: RNAcentral